UGGGGGAUAUUGCACAAUGGGCGAAAGCCUGAUGCAGCGACGCCGCGUGGGGGAUGAAGGCUUUCGGGUUGUAAACCUCUUUCGCUAUCGAACAAGGCCCGCUUAGGGUGGGUUGAGGGAAGGUGGAGAAGAAGCGCCGGCUAACUACGUGCCAGCAGCCGCGGUAAUACGUAGGGCGCGAGCGUUGUCCGGAAUUAUUGGGCGUAUAGGGCUUGUAGGCGGCUUGUUGCGCCUGCUGUGAAAACGCGGGGCUUAACUUCGCGCGUGCAGUGGGUACGGGCAGGCUUGAGUGUGGUAGGGGUGACUGGAAUUCCAGGUGUAGCGGUGGAAUGCGCAGAUAUCUGGAGGAACACCGAUGGCGAAGGCAGGUCACUGGGCCAUUACUGACGCUGAGGAGCGAAAGCAUGGGUAGCGAACAGG
This 420-nucleotide ribosomal RNA is filed under the name bacterium. Its description in RNAcentral is "partial 16S ribosomal RNA". It matches the Rfam family "Bacterial small subunit ribosomal RNA", at positions 355 to 776 of the family's 1533-position model. The record is from RNAcentral.